Molecule: ribosomal RNA, 247 nt
Filed under: uncultured bacterium
Lineage: Bacteria
Description: partial 16S ribosomal RNA
Rfam family: Bacterial small subunit ribosomal RNA
Source: RNAcentral
AUACGGAGGGUGCGAGCGUUAAUCGGAAUUACUGGGCGUAAAAGGUGCGUAGGUGGUUGAAUAAGUUGGUUGUGAAAGUCCUGGGCUUAACCUGGGGAUUGCGAUUGAUACUGUUUGACUAGAGUAUAGGAGAGGGUAGUGGAAUUUCCGGUGUAGCGGUGAAAUGCGUAGAGAUCGGAAGGAACACCGGUGGCGAAGGCGGCUACCUGGCCUGAUACUGACACUGAGGCACGAAAGCGUGGGGAGC